GCGAGCGGCUACGGCCGCGAAGUGGGUGAUGUCAAGCUUCCAAGAAAAGCCCUAUACCCGUUAAGGCAUGAUGGCCUGUACCCGAAACCGACACAGGUGGGGUGGUAGAGAAUACCGAGGGGCGCGAGGUAACUCUCUCUAAGGAACUCGGCAAAAUGGCCCCGUAACUUCGGGAGAAGGGGUGCCACCGCAAGGUGGUCGCAGAGAAGAGGCCCAGGCGACUGUUUACCAAAAACACAGGUCUCCGCUAAGUCGCAAGACGAUGUAUGGGGGCUGACGCCUGCCCAGUGCCGGAAGGUUAAGGAAGCUGGUCAGCGCAAGCGAAGCUGGCGACUGAAGCCCCGGUGAACGGCGGCCGUAACAAUAACGGUCCUAAGGUAGCGAAAUUCCUUGUCGGGUAAGUUCCGACCCGCACGAAAGGCGUAACGAUCUGGGCGCUGUCUCGGAGAGAGGCUCGGCGAAAUAGAAUUGUCUGUGAAGAUGCGGACUACGUGCACCCGGACAGAAAGACCCUAUGAAGCUUUACUGUAGCUUGGUAUUGUGCCCGGGCUCUGAAUGCGCAGGAUAGGUGGGAGGCUUUGAUCCAUGGCUUGCGGGUCAUGGUGAGCCAACGGUGAGAUACCACUCUUUCAGAGCUAGGGUUCUAACGGUCACCCGUCAUCCGGGGACCGGACAGUAUCAGGUGGGCAGUUUGACUGGGGCGGUCGCCUCCUAAAAGGUAACGGAGGCGCGCAAAGGUUUGCUCAGGCUGGUUGGAAAUCAGCCGACGAGUGCAAAAGCAGAGGCAAGCUUGACUGUGAGACCUACAAGUCGAACAGGGACGAAAGUCGGCUUUAGUGAUCCGACGGUUCUGAGUGGAAGGGCCGUCGCUCAACGGAUAAAAGUUACUCUAAGGAUAACAGGCUGAUCUCCCCCAAGAGUUCACAUCGACGGGGAGGUUUGGCACCUCGAUGUCGGCUCAUCGCAACCUGGGGCUGAAGUCGGUCCCAAGGGUUGGGCUGUUCGCCCAUUAAAGCGGUACGCGAGCUGGGUUCAGAACGUCGUGAGACAGUUCGGUCCAUAUCCGGUGCACGCGCAGGAACAUUGAGAGGAUUUCUCCCUAGUACGAGAGGACCGGGAGGAACGCACCUCUGGUGUGCCAGUUAUCGUGCCAACGGUAAACGCUGGGUAGCCAUGUGCGGAGUGGAUAACCGCUGAAAGCAUCUAAGUGGGAAGCCCACCUCAAGAUGAGUGUUCCCAUGGCAUAAGCCAGUAAGGUCACGGGAAGAACACCCGUUGAUAGGCUCUACGUGGAAGCCGGGUAACCGGUGAAGCGGAGGAGUACUAAUAGACCGAGGGCUUGAGC
This 1345-nucleotide ribosomal RNA is filed under the name metagenome. RNAcentral describes it as "bacterial LSU rRNA". It matches the Rfam family "Bacterial large subunit ribosomal RNA", at positions 1569 to 2925 of the family's 2925-position model. The record is from RNAcentral.